This 856-nucleotide ribosomal RNA is filed under the name Blepharisma japonicum. Its description in RNAcentral is "partial Bacterial large subunit ribosomal RNA". It matches the Rfam family "Bacterial large subunit ribosomal RNA", at positions 1 to 866 of the family's 2925-position model. The record is from RNAcentral. Lineage: Eukaryota; Ciliophora; Heterotrichea; Heterotrichida; Blepharismidae.
GUUACAGCAAUUGAUGGAUGCCUUGGCUUCAUCAGGCGAAGAAGGACGCAGCAAGCUGCGAUAAGCUUCGGGGAGCGGCACGCACGCUUUGAUCCGAAGAUUUCCGAAUGGGGAAACCCGGCACCGGUCAUUCGGUGUCGCGACGGUCCGAAUACAUACGAUCGUCCGCGCAAUACGUGGAGAAGUGAAACAUCUCAGUAUCCACAGGAAAAGAACGAGAAUCGAUUCCGUCAGUAGUGGCGAGCGAAAGCGGAACAGCCCAAACCGGAAAAACUUGUUUUUCCGGGGUUGUGGGAGCCCGUAAAAGAAGAAAGGAUGCGAAGCCGAACAGUCUGCGAAAGGCUGGCCAUAGACCGUGACAGCCGGGUCGGCGAAGUUGAGAGUCUUCUGGGAAUUCCCGAGUAACGCGAUGCACGUGAAACUUCGCGUGAAACUGUCCAGACCACUGGAUAAGGCUAAAUACUACUUGGCAACCGAUAGUGAACUAGUACCGCGAGGGAAAGGCGAAAAGAACCCCUGCUAGGGGAGUGAAAUAGAUCCUGCAACCCUCUGCCUACAAUGUGUCGGAGCCCCGAAAGGGGUGACGGCCUGCCUUUUGCAUAAUGAGUCUGCGAGUUAUUGUCAGUGGCCAGCGUCAGACCCUCUGGGUUGGACGCGAAGCGAAAGCGAGUACGAAAUGUGCGCCUAGUCGCUGGCAAUAGACCCGAAGCGGAGGUGAUCUACUCUUGAGCAGGUUGAAACCAAGGUAACACUUGGUGAAGGACCGAACUCGUGGAUGUUGAAAAAUCCUGAGAUGACUUGAGAGUAGGAGCGAAAGACUAAUCAAACCCUGUGAUAGCUGGUUCUUUCCGAAAGA